UACGGAGGGUGCAAGCGUUAUCCGGGUUCACUGGGUUUAAAGGGUGCGUAGGUGGCCCUGUAAGUCAGUGGUGAAAUAUCUCAGCUUAACUGAGAGGGUGCCAUUGAUACUGCAGGGCUUGAGUACAGAUGAGGUAGGCGGAAUUGACGGUGUAGCGGUGAAAUGCAUAGAUAUCGUCAAGAACACCGAUAGCGAAGGCAGCUUACCAAGCUGUAACUGACACUGAGGCACGAAAGUGUGGGGAUCAAACAGG
Molecule: ribosomal RNA, 253 nt
Filed under: uncultured bacterium
Lineage: Bacteria
Description: partial 16S ribosomal RNA
Rfam family: Bacterial small subunit ribosomal RNA
Source: RNAcentral